GCAAGUCGAACGCUCCGCAAGGAGAGUGGCAGACGGGUGAGUAACACGUGGGAACGUACCCUUUACUACGGAACAACUCCGGGAAACUGGAGCUAAUACCGUAUGUGCCCUUCGGGGGAAAGAUUUAUCGGUAAAGGAUCGGCCCGCGUUGGAUUAGCUAGUUGGUGGGGUAAAGGCCUACCAAGGCGACGAUCCAUAGCUGGUCUGAGAGGAUGAUCAGCCACAUUGGGACUGAGACACGGCCCAA
This 247-nucleotide ribosomal RNA is filed under the name uncultured Hyphomicrobiales bacterium. RNAcentral describes it as "uncultured Rhizobiales bacterium partial 16S ribosomal RNA". It matches the Rfam family "Bacterial small subunit ribosomal RNA", at positions 57 to 334 of the family's 1533-position model. Lineage: Bacteria; Pseudomonadati; Pseudomonadota; Alphaproteobacteria; Hyphomicrobiales. The record is from RNAcentral.